Oncorhynchus mykiss (rainbow trout) is the source of this 4594-nucleotide long non-coding RNA. The record is from Ensembl. Lineage: Eukaryota; Metazoa; Chordata; Actinopteri; Salmoniformes; Salmonidae.
UCUCUCCCAGGGACGUGUCAAACGUCUAACGGACAAAUAAGCUGCAGGGGUAAUGGCAUGAAUCACCUCCCAAUCAUCACCGACCUUGGGGUCACGACCCUGGACCUGGCAGAGAACAACAUCAGUCUUAUUGCCUCGCGGGGUUUCUCUGGUCUUCCCAACCUGGAGAGUAUAGAUCUGAGCAAAAACCGACUGGAUGACGACUCACUCAGCCAUCACCUCUUCUCUGUAAGUCUCACCAGAUUUUCACCACUACCAUGUUGUAUGAUUGACCUGCUGGAGAGUAAGGGUUGGGGGUUCGAGAUCUCUAGAUGCAUCUGCUAAAUGACCAGAACAGUCUUGCAUGAGUCAGCAUAUUCCUAUAACAGUAGCUGGUAAUUGGCUGACAGUAGCUGAGUCAGUAUAUUCCUAUAAUAGUAGCUGGUAAUUGGCUGACAGUAGGUGAGUCUGUACAUGUAUACUCUAUAAUAGCAGCUGGUAACUGGCUGACAGUAGGUGAGUCAGUAUAUUCCUAUAAUAGUAGCUGGUAAUUGGCUGACAGUAGCUGAGUCAGUAUAUUCCUAUAAUAGUAGCUGGUAAUUGGCUGACAGUAGCUGAGUCAGUAUAUUCCUAUAAUAGUAGCUGGUAAUUGGCUGACAGUAGGUGAGUCUGUACAUGAAUACUCUAUAAUAGCAGCUGGUAACUGGCUGACAGUAGGUGAGUCAGUAUACUCUAUAAUAGCAGAUGGUAACUGGCUGACAGUAACUGAGUCUGUACUCUAUAAUAGCAGCUGGUAACUGGCUGACAGUAGCUGAGUCAGUACAUGUGUACUCUAUAAUAGCAGCUGGUAACUGGCUAACAGUAACUGAGUCUGUACUCUAUAAUAGCAGUUGGUAACUGGCUGACAGUAACUGAGUCAGUACAUGUAUACUCUAUAAUAGCAGCUGUUAACUGGCUAACAGUAACUGAGUCAGUACUCUAUAAUAGCAGAUGGUAACUGGCUGACAGUAACUGAGUCAGUAUACUCUAUAAUAGCAGAUGGUAACUGGCUGACAGUAACUGAGUCUGUACUCUAUAAUAGCAGUUGGUAACUGGCUGACAGUAACUGAGUCAGUACAUGUAUACUCUAUAUUAGCAGCCGUUAACUGGCUGACAGUAACUGAGUCAGUACUCUAUAAUAGCAGCUGGUAACUGGCUGACAGUAGCUGAGUCAGUACAUGUGUACUCUAUAAUAGCAGCUGGUAACUGGCUGACAGUAACUGAGUCAGUACAUGUAUACUCUAUAAUAGCAGCUGGUAACUGGCUGACAGUAGCUGAGUCAGUACAUGUGUACUCUAUAAUAGCAGCUGGUAACUGGCUGACAGUAGCUGAGUCAGUACAUGUGUACUCUAUAAUAGCAGCUGGUAACUGGCUGACAGUAGCUGAGUCAGUACAUGUGUACUCUAUAAUAGCAGCUGGUAACUGGCUGACAGUAACUGAGUCAGUACAUGUGUACUCUAUAAUAGCAGCUGGUAACUGGCUGACAGUAGCUGAGUCAGUACAUGUGUACUCUAUAAUAGCAGCUGGUAACUAGCUGACAGUAGCUGAGUCUGUACUCUAUAAUAGCAGCUGGGAACUGGCUGACAGACUACAGCAGGAACACACUCUGGUGUCCUGGCUCCUCUUACAGCUUUUCACAAUCUCUUACAAACUUAAAUGUGGUACUUGAGGCAUUCUGGGUGAAACCAUUAACUCAUGUACCUUAUCUUCAUACCAAGUCUGCAAAACUGCAAGCACAUCAUGUGCUUUACACUCAGUUUGCAAUUGUAAAACACACUUAUCUCAAAACACUAAACACAGUUAUUUACAUUAGACACAUCAUUCAAAACUAACAGGUCUUAUGUUUCGUUUGGAAAACACUGCCAUACAAAAUGUCACACUCAUUUACCGAUUACCUAAACCCAGUGCUCGCAUAUGAAAACACUUAAAGCUUAUUUCUUCCCUUAGAAAUCAGAGCUUAAGCACUAUAAAUAGGCUUCGGGUUACGUUUCUUGGUUUGGACAACAAUGGAGGCCAAUUAAAGGAGAGAAAGUUAGAGGAAGAGGAGUGAGAGUAAGAGGGGGACGAUGCUGAGGAGGAGGACACGGACAAGGACGAGGAGGGGGAAGAGGACGAGGACGAGGAGUGGGACAAGGAAGAGGAGGAAGGAAAACAAUCACAGAUGAGAUCCGGGCCACUUUGGUUGAUUAUGUGGUCAACCAUGGUUUGAGUUUCAGGGAGGCUGGGCAGAGGAUCCAGCCUAACUUGAGCUACUACACUGCAUCUAGUAUCAUCCGGACAUUUUGAAAUGAGAACAGGGAAGUAAACCUACCCUCCAUACCGUGCUACUGUACUUACAGCACCGCAGCACUUACAGCACUACAGUAACAUUGAAUUUCCUACUGAAAGAAAUCCUGCACCCUGCACCCUAACCUAGACGAUCUUUCAAUGGAGGAAGAAACCGGCUGUUCACAGCAGAGCAGGAACAGCACAUAGUGAAUAUGUUCACUUCAAACAACAGCAUACGUUUAGGACAACUGCAACACCACAUCGUCACUGACAACACAACAUUCAGUAACAUAAAUAGGGUGAGUUUAUCCUCACUUGGCCUGAAACGCCAUCAGAUUCGUGUGAAGCAGCUCUACAGAGUACCAUUUGAGCCAAAUUCUGACAGAGAAACAACUGCGCUAUGAAUACAUACAAGUAAGCUAUACUAUCCUGUCAUUGGUACUGUAUUCCAGUGUAUAGUGCUACAUAUUGACUGCUCUAUGUCUAUUCAUACUGUCAUACAAUAAUGUUUAGUCUUGUCUCUUUCAGAGAGUUCUGGAACUAGAUGCUGCUGCAGAGCAUCAUGAUUUAGUCUACGUUGAUGAGGUCGGCUUUAACAUAGCCAAAACAAGACGCAGGGGAAGAAACCUCAUACUGCAGGGGUUAGAAACACCGCGCCAUCGUCAAUGUCCCUGGACAGCAUCACAAUGUGUGCAGCCAUUAAUCAGAACAGUGUCCUUCAUCAUCAUGCCACUCUUGGUCCUUACAAUACUUCCCACAUUAUCACCUUCCUUGACACCCUGCCUAAUAUCCUCAUUCCCAAUGACCGGAGGAAUGGGCCAGAGCAGUCCAGGUUUGUUGUCAUCUAGGACAACAUAAGUUUCCACCGGGCUGCUCUGGCCCUCAAUUGGUUAAUUGACAAGCUGAUGCUCAACCUGCUGCCAUAUUCUCCAUUUCUAAACCCAAUAGAAGAGUUAUUUUUAGCAUGGCGUUGGAAUGUAUACGAUCGGCAACCUCAUCAGCGCAUACCCCUUCUCCAGGCGAUGGAGGAGGCCUUGUGGUGACAUCGACGAGGGGACAUGCCAGGGCUGGAUACGCCAGUCCAGAUGCUGCUUACCCCCGCUGUUUAGCCAGAGAGAUCACUUGUGAUGUUGAUGUGGCGCUGUGGCCAGACCCAAAUAGGAGACAGGAUGCACCCUAAUAGUUUUUUUCUUUAUAGUAACAAACCUAUUUGUUUGUCUUCUAUUGUAUUUGUUUUGUCUGUUACUGUUCAUCCUGAAAUCUGGAUGAAAAUACAAUGUUUUGAGAAAGAAGUUAAUUUUAUGUUUCUGUUUCUAGGGUAAAUAUAUACUGAAUAUGCAUACAUACUGUAUAUAUCUGUGCACAUACAUGUACGUGUAAGUGCUAUGACAAACCGUUGUGGACUCCACUGCACACUGAACCUGCAGAAGACGAGAGUGUUUUACAUUUGUCACCUCCUUGUGUAGUUGGCGUGUAUAUGAGCUAAUCGAUUGGUUUGUGUGGAGAGUUUUGAUGCAAAAGAUCUUUUGCAAGAGAUGUGUGAUGUUUUGCAUGUGUGUGUGUUUUGGGGUUGUGUGUGUGUGUGUGUGUGUGUGUGUGUGUGUCUUGGGGUUGUGUGUGUGUGUCUAGAGAAAAGGAGCCAUAGUUUCAGAAAUCGCGUAAGCAAUUGUCAAGAACUGUAAGAGAUCAGCUAAGUGUGUGUGUGUGUGUGUGUGUGUGUGUGUGUGUGUGUGUGUGUGUGUGUGUGUGUGUGCGUGCGUGCGUGCGUGCGUGUGUGUACACAUGUUCAAGUGAAAUACAGUACAUGACUACAGCCAAUGGGAUUGAGAUGAAGAGAUUAUUUUAAGAAUGAAUUAUUUCAUGAUAUCCGUUCAUCCAGUAAUGACAGAGGCAGGAGGAACAGGGCGGAGUUACUGGGCGGAGUUACUGGGCGACUGACACAGCUCACUGCUUUCACUGGCUACAGAUCAAACAGACCAGACCAAUACAUGCACUAAAUAAAGAUCAGGGUCAAGCUAGAUUUCCAGAAAAUGACCAUUUUUAACAGUAAUCUAAACCGUUGUUUUUCUCCUCCUCUUGUUUUAUCUCUACUCCCUGGUAGAAUCUGACCCGGCUGAGGAGGCUCAACCUCGAUGAUAACCAGCUGACACGGAUCCCCCUGCUGCCACCUUCACUGGGGGAGCUCACGAUGAAUGGCAACAAGAUCACCAGACUCACCCCUUACAGCUUCAAAGGUGUGUGUUGGAGAGAGGUCCAAGGUUGAUUUAAUCCCCCCGUAAAUAACACACACACUUCUUUGUGACACUCA